UUUCGCAAUGCCCGAAAGGGUGACGAAGCGACGCCGCGUGGGUGAGGAAGGCCUUCGGGUUGUAAAGCCCUGUCAGGAGUUAAGAAAUGUAGGUACGCUAAUAUCGUAUCUAUUUGACAAAGGCUCCAAAGGAAGCCACGGCUAACUCUGUGCCAGCAGCCGCGGUAAUACAGAGGUGGCAAGCGUUGUUCGGAAUUAUUGGGCGUAAAGAGCACGUAGGUGGAUUUGUAAGUCAGAUGUGAAAGCCUUCUGUUCAACGGGAGAAUUGCAUCUGAAACUACAAACCUUGAGUAUAGGAGGGGAGAAUGGAACUUCUGGUGGAGCGGUGAAAUGCGUAGAUAUCAGAAGGAACGCCGGCGGCGAAAGCGAUUCUCUGGCCUAUUACUGACACUCAGUGUGCGAAAGCUAGGGGAGCAAACGGGAUUAGAUACCCCGGUAGUCCUAGCCGUAAACGAUGGGCACUAAGUAGAGGGGUUUUA
Molecule: ribosomal RNA, 479 nt
Filed under: uncultured anaerobic ammonium-oxidizing bacterium
Lineage: Bacteria
Description: bacterial SSU rRNA
Rfam family: Bacterial small subunit ribosomal RNA
Source: RNAcentral